UUAAGCAGGCUCAAUGCCCAGUGCAGAGCCCCGACUUGGGGCUCGAUCCCACAACCAUGAGAUCACGACCUGAGCCAAAAUCAAGAACUGGACCCUCAACCAACUAAGCUACCCAGGCGUCCCUUUGUCUUCGGUGUGGAUAGGCAUUAGCCCAUUCUGUCUGGACCUAAACAUAAACGUCACGACUUAAGCAGCUGAAAGGCCGUGGAUAGAAGAACAGCAAAUAAAUACAAGGAGCAACCUUAUCUUAAAAGUCCUGGAUCCUUUCAAAGCCUUCCAAAGCCACAUGGAUCUCCUUAAUACUAAGAAUUCAGCCGAUCAAAGGGAUGCCUCACCAACAGGAUGAAAUAACACACACCAAACUGUUGACAAUUGCCCCAGCUCCCUAUAUAAUUGGACCUCGAGAGGGGCUGGACCAAGCAAAAGACACCAACCAGCACCUGGAAACUGUGAAAUACAAAUUCAGUUCGAAGAAAGAAAACACCAUCAGUUCUCCCAAUAUUGUUUAUCUUUUUAGAAUAGCCGUCCUUAUUCUGGACUUGAUCGUCCUCUUCUCUUUAGAAUCACACACAGACUUGACCAAGGGUCUCCAUCUGACCCUUGUUGGUAAAUAAGAGUGUGGUAGAAAACCCUUUCUUGUGGUGGAGAAAGGAUUCCCACACUUUUAGGUGACCAGUUGUCUACGAUUUAUCCAUUGGGAAACUCUGAUUUCAGGUGAUCCCUCUAACUGCUUUUGCACUGAAAGUAAAACCCUUUGACCCAUUUUACGCCAUGUUAGGAAAAUUCUGAAUUAUCCCACAUCCACCCUAUAAAAGGACUCAACUGCCUGAUUUACAAUCGCAAAUAACCAAUUUUCCUAGAGAAAAUGUGUUGUCUCACAUACAAAGACAGUCUCCCCUCCACCAAGAAAUCCUGGAGAUACUUCAAAAUCAACCCCUCCAACACCACACUCCUCCUUCUCCACCCGAAACCCACACUUCGCCUGGUUCCCUCCGUGGGGGUUCCCACCCAGUUCCCAGUAAAGAAGUCACCUCGCCCUCCCUCUUUUUCCUUCUCCCUCUCCGUCAGCAUCCGUGGUGCCACCAAGUCCAUUCCACUCUCUGCCACGUCAUCUCUCAGCUCUGCCGGAGUCCUGUCCUCUGUCCUCUGGGUCAGGCUCCUCACAGCUCUCACUUGCAUUAUGACUCAAGCAUCACCCCACUUCGGGAGCUGGCCAGCCCCUUGCUCCCAACCACUUGCUACACCACAGGCACAGUGGAAGUUUAUAUUGCAAACGUGAUUGUGUCUCCCCAGCAGUGACGUGUCUGUGUCUCCUUAACGCCAACAGGACCAUUACUGUGGCCCCCGGGACGCUGCAGGGGAAGUGCCUGCUGGCAUCCACAGCCUCCCUCUCUGAACCUGAUCCGUCCCCUCCCCCACACCUUUCCCCACCUCAAGCACACCACACUCUCUUUCUCCUUCAGGUCCCCUCUGCCUGACACCCUGCCCAUGUCCCCAUAUCUGUCUCACUCCACAUCUCCCCCUGUACGUGAGUGUGCCUGCCUUUUCCCACAGGGGACAUGCCCACGGGUCCUGACCAUUUCU
Molecule: long non-coding RNA, 1584 nt
Organism: Felis catus (domestic cat)
Lineage: Eukaryota; Metazoa; Chordata; Mammalia; Carnivora; Felidae
Exons: 3
Source: RefSeq, a predicted model, not a curated record